UUUUUUCCAGGUAAGGAGCCUAGGAAGCCCCCUUCCUCCCAGAUUGGGUCUCAGAGCCAUGCUUCAAGAAUCAGAAAAGCCUCAAGAAUCAUCUAGCCUUCCUUACUCUUCAAUGCUAUUCUUCUCUGAACAUUGAGGUCCUAGAUGCAGACAUUGCUGAAUGCAAGGUGGCUGGAGGCCCUGGAGUAGUCCCUGUAUCUCAGGCUCAGGGAACCUUUGGAACCACUCCUUAUCUGGAGAUUUUGGGAACUGAAGCUUCCAGUGGGCCAAUGAAAGCAAGAAAAUAACAGCACAAGGUCCAGAAUCCAGAAGACCGCCCUGGACACUUAGGGAAGCAAUAUACGCCAGUGGUUGAGAAUCUCCACUUCGGAAGCUGAUUUCCAGAGCUGGCAAAUGGGCUCACCAAUAAACAUCUGUGUGACCUCAAGCAAAUCACCUUAUGUGCAUCAUUGAGGACUGUCAGGAAGACUGAUAAGGUGAUGAAUAAAAAGGAAUAGAGAAUACAAAUCAGUGAAAGGAAUUUGAAAAUCUUUUCAAUCAGUGCGUGAUAUCGGCGAAGACUGAUCGAAGGAUUCUGUUCCUUUACUUUGUAUCCCCUGUAAGCACAAGUGAAACAGGCAGAGGGCCUUCACACAAUAGAAUGAGUAAUGAUGCUGACUUGGUCCUAAAAUGUAAGUACUGUAUCUUCCAUGCUUAAAAUUGUCCAAAGCUUUCCUGCCACACUUUUUUUUAAUGUUUGUUUAUUUUUGAAAGACCAAGACAGAGCACAAGCCCAGGAGGCGCAGAGAGAGAGGGAGACACAGAAUUUGAGGCAGGUUCCAGGCUCUGAGCUAUCAGCACAGAGCCCAAUACGAGGCUCAAACCCAUAAACCCGUGAGAUCAUGACCUGAGUCAGACACUUAUCCAACUGAGCCACCCAGGCACCCCCCUGCCACACUCAUAAUAAAAUCCAUACUCCUAUCAGCCCUCGAGUCCCUCCACUCACACUGGCCUGCUUUAGUUCCAUGAAUAGAUCAACAUUUGCCUCAAGCUGGGCCUAGGUAUUGGUCUUUGUGUAACACUUCUAUAUUCACCAUGAUCCUUUUAGGUCUUCUCUUAAAUAUCACCUCCUAAAAGAUGCUUCCCCUAACCCUUUAACAUUAGUUAAAUCCAAUUCUAUGAAUUUCUCUUACCUAGUGUCAUAUUUGUUUCCUUUGUGAUAUUUAUAAUAACUUAAAAAUACACAUGUAUUUAUUUGUUAGUUUCUUUAUAUAUUAAUCUAGCUAAACUGAGGGCAAUUUUGUACCUACCUCUCCACCUGGGGGAUAUUUGGCAAAGUCUGGAGACCUUUAUUAUUGUUCCAAUCAGGUAAGGGAGGUUAUUACUGGCAUCUCGCGGGUAGGGGCCAGGGAUAUUGUUUAAUAUCCUAUGAUGCACAGGACAGU
Long non-coding RNA from Neofelis nebulosa (Clouded leopard), 1424 nucleotides. RefSeq lists it as uncharacterized. The transcript is spliced from 6 exons. NCBI's taxonomy places the organism in Eukaryota, Metazoa, Chordata, Mammalia, Carnivora, Felidae. The record is from RefSeq and is a predicted model, not a curated record.